RNAcentral lists this ribosomal RNA (307 nucleotides) under Amanita sp. MFC-13. Its description in RNAcentral is "LSU rRNA". It matches the Rfam family "Bacterial large subunit ribosomal RNA", at positions 1773 to 2084 of the family's 2925-position model. The record is from RNAcentral. Lineage: Eukaryota; Fungi; Basidiomycota; Agaricomycetes; Agaricales; Amanitaceae.
AUGGUGGCACAGAAUCGGAGGCCCCGACUGUUUACUAAAAACACAACACAGUGCAAUCAUUAAUAUGGUAGUAUACUGUGUGAAAUUUGCCCAAUGCCAUUAAUAUAAAAGCGGUCAUAGGAAACUGUGACUAAUUGAAAAUCUGGUUAAUAGCGGUCUUAACCAUGAGGAUCCUAAGGUAGCAAAAUAAAUUGGCCAUUAAAUGUGGUCCGGUAUCAAUAAUGUAACGAUGGCCUCACUGUCUCUACAACUUGCUCAGUGAAAUUGAAUUACGCGUGCAGAUGCGCGUUACCUCCAGUUGGACGGG